Molecule: ribosomal RNA, 497 nt
Filed under: uncultured bacterium
Lineage: Bacteria
Description: partial 16S ribosomal RNA
Rfam family: Bacterial small subunit ribosomal RNA
Source: RNAcentral
GAUGAACGCUGGCGGCGUGCCUAAUACAUGCAAGUCGAGCGAACGGACGAGAAGCUUGCUUCUCUGAUGUUAGCGGCGGACGGGUGAGUAACACGUGGAUAACCUACCUAUAAGACUGGGAUAACUUCGGGAAACCGGAGCUAAUACCGGAUGAUAUUUUGAACCGCAUGGUUCAAAAGUGAAAGACGGUCUUGCUGUCACUUAUAGAUAGAUCCGCGCUGCAUUAGCUAGUUGGUAAGGUAACGGCUUACCAAGGCAACGAUGCAUAGCCGACCUGAGAGGGUGAUCGGCCACACUGGAACUGAGACACGGUCCAGACUCCUACGGGAGGCAGCAGUAGGGAAUCUUCCGCAAUGGGCGAAAGCCUGACGGAGCAACGCCGCGUGAGUGAUGAAGGUCUUCGGAUCGUAAAACUCUGUUAUUAGGGAAGAACAUAUGUGGAAGUAACUGUGCACAUCUUGACGGUACCUAAUCAGAAAGCCACGGCUAACUACGUG